RNAcentral lists this ribosomal RNA (1545 nucleotides) under Bacillus thuringiensis. Its description in RNAcentral is "bacterial SSU rRNA". It matches the Rfam family "Bacterial small subunit ribosomal RNA". The record is from RNAcentral. Lineage: Bacteria; Bacillati; Bacillota; Bacilli; Caryophanales; Bacillaceae.
GCUACUGGCUAUAGCCUAUACAUGCAGUCGAGCGAAUGGAUUGAGAGCUUGCUCUCAUGAAGUUAGCGGCGGACGGGUGAGUAACACGUGGGUAACCUGCCCAUAAGACUGGGAUAACUCCGGGAAACCGGGGCUAAUACCGGAUAACAUUUUGAACUGCAUGGUUCGAAAUUGAAAGGCGGCUUCGGCUGUCACUUAUGGAUGGACCCGCGUCGCAUUAGCUAGUUGGUGAGGUAACGGCUCCCUAGGGGACUUGUGGCUCUCCGUCCCGAGCAUGUGAUCGGGUGUGUUUGGAAGGAGACACGGGGCAUACUCCUACGGGAGGCUCCCCAAAGUUAGGCACUUUGUCGCCGCAAUGGCACGAAAAGCGUCUGACGGAGCAUCGGCAGCGUUAAUGAUGAAGGGCUUUCGGUUCGUAAAUCUGUGUUGGUAGGAAAGAACAAAGUGCUAGUUGAGUAAGCUGGCACUGUGACGGUACUUACCCAGAACGACACGGCUAUCUACGUGCCAGCAGCCGCGGUAAUACGUAGCUGACAUGCGUUAUCCUGCAUUAUUGGGCAGUAAAGCGCGCGCAGGUGGUUUCUGAAGUCUGAUGUGAAAGCCCAACGGCAUCCACCACUGGAGAGUCAUUGGAAACGAGGGAGACUUGGAGUGCAGAAGAGGAAAGUGGAAUUCCGAUGUGUAGCGGUGAAAUGCGUAGAGAUAUGGAGGAACACCAGUGGCGAAGGCGACUUUCUGGUCUGUAACUGACACUGAGGCGCGAAAGCGUGGGGAGCAAACAGGAUUAGAUACCCUGGUAGUCCACGCCGUAAACGAUGAGUGCUAAGUGUUAGACGGGUUUCUGCCCUUUAGUGCUGUAGUUAACUGCAUUAAGCACUCCGCCUGGGGCAGUACGGGCCGCAACGGCUGAAACUCAAAGGCAAUUGACGGGGGCCCCGCACGAAGCCGGUGGGAGCAUGUGCUUUAAGUUCGAACGCAACGCGACGAACUUUAACCAGGUCUUGACAUCCUCUGAACACCCUAGAGAUAGGGCUUCUCCUCCGGGAGCAUAGUGACAGUUGGUGCAUGUUCGUCGUCAGCUCUUGUCAUGAGAAUGUUGGGUUAAGUGCUCGCAAACGAGGCGCAUCCCCUGGAUCGUAGUUGCCAGUUAUUAGAGGUGGGUAACUCUCAAGGGAACUACCGCGGGUACAAACCGGAAGCAUUUGCGGAGUUACAUUGAAAAAUCAUGUGUCCCCUUAUAGAAAAAACCCUGGCUACACACGUGCUACAAUGGACGGUACAAAGAGCUGCAAGACCGCGAGGUGGAGCUAAUCUCAUAAAACCGUUCUCAGUUCGGAUUGUAGGCUGCAACUCGCCUACAUGAAGCUGGAAUCGCUAGUAAUCGCGGAUCAGCAUGCCGCGGUGAAUACGUUCCCGGGCCUUGUACACACCGCCCGUCACACCACGAGAGUUUGUAACACCCGAAGUCGGUGGGGUAACCUUUUUGGAGCCAGCCGCCUAAGGUGGGACAGAUGAUUGGGGCAAGUCGAACAAUGAGACGUAGAC